GAUGAAGAACGCAGCGAAAUGCGAUAAGUAAUGUGAAUUGCAGAAUUCAGUGAAUCAUCGAAUCUUUGAACGCACAUUGCGCCCGCCAGUAUUCUGGCGGGCAUGCCUGUUCGAGCGUCAUUUCAACCAUCAAGCCCUGCUUGCGUUGGGGUCCUGCGGCUGCCGCAGGCCCUGAAAACCAGUGGCGGGCUCGCUAGUCACACCGAGCGCAGUAAUACAUCUCGCUUUGGGCGUGCGGCGGGUUCUUGCCGUUAAACACCCCCUUUUUACCAAGGUUGACCUCGGAUCAGGUAGGAAUACCCGCUGAACUUAAGCAUAUCAAUAAGCGGAGGA
RNAcentral lists this unclassified non-coding RNA (333 nucleotides) under soil metagenome. RNAcentral's name for it is "partial contains 5.8S ribosomal RNA, internal transcribed spacer 2, and large subunit ribosomal RNA". The stretch from base 1 to 120 matches the Rfam family "5.8S ribosomal RNA", at positions 35 to 154 of the family's 154-position model. The record is from RNAcentral.